RNAcentral lists this long non-coding RNA (4035 nucleotides) under Homo sapiens (human). Its description in RNAcentral is "HSALNT0161856". The record is from RNAcentral. Lineage: Eukaryota; Metazoa; Chordata; Mammalia; Primates; Hominidae.
CGAGGUGGCGGGCGCCUGUAGUCCCAGCUACUCGGGAGGCUGAGGCAGGAGAAUGGCGUGAACCCCGCGGGGCGGAGCCUGCAGUGAGCCGAGAUCGCGCCACUGCACUCCAGCUUGGGUGAAAAAGCGAGACUCCAUCUCAAAAAAAAAAAUAAUAAUAAUCUUUGAGUUGCCCCUGUUAGUACAGCACCAAUCCAAAACACACCCCUGUCCUUGGACCCUCCCCAAAAUCACCAGCCACAAGUCCAAAUGGUAUAACAAGCCCUCUAACAAGUCUCCUAAGACACCCCAUGGUUUCAGAGGUGUGAUGUCUCAUUGCAGCAACUAACAGCCCCAAAUAAUAACUAGUUCACAGUGAGGAAUAUAUGCAUUCACUGAAAUAGCAAAUCAUCAUUCCACCAUAUGUAUGCCUUUUGUAGUCUGACUGGUAGACACGGCAAAUAUAGAUACACUUAUAUAUGAAGGAUACGUAACUCAUAUGCACAAAUGAAACUUCAGAGCCUAUACUCUAAUGAAAAAUCAAAAUAAAUUUUUCUUUCUUUUUUUUUUUAACUCUUUGAGACAGGGUCUUGCACCAUCCCCUAGCCAGGAGUGCAGUGGCAGGAUCUCAGCUCGCUGCAGCCUUGACAGCUCAAGCAAUCUUCCCACCUCAGCCUCUCAGCCUCCCGGUAGCUGGGACGACAGGGGGUCACCACCACACCCAGCUGAUUUUUUUUUUUUUUUUUUUUUGAGAUGGUGUCUCGCACUGUCUCCCGGGCUGGAGUGCAAUGGUGCGAUCUCGGCUCACUGCAACCUCCACCUCCCAGGUUCACGGGAUUCUCCUGCUUCAGCCUCCGGAGUAGUUGGGAUUACAGGCGCACACCACCACACCCGGCUAACUUUUUGUGUUUUUAGUAGAGAGGGGGUUUCACUAUGUUGGCCAGACUGGUCUCAAACUCCUGACCUCAUGAUCUGUCCUUCUUGGCCUCCCAAAGUGCUGGGAUUACAGGGUUGAGCCACCGUUCCUAGCCACACCCAGCUGAUUUUUAAAUUUUUUUGGAGAGACACAGACUUGCUAUGUUACCUAGGCUGGUCUCUAACUCCUGGGCUCAAGUGAUCCUCCUCCUGCAUUGGCCUCCCAAAGUGCUGGGAUUACAGCUGUGAGCCACUGCAUCUGGCCAAAACAAACAUUUCUUUUUUUUUUUUUUUUUUUGGACACUGAGUCUUGCUAUGUUGUCCAGGCUAGAGUGCAGAGGUUGCAGUGAACCGAGAUCACGCCACUGCCUAGGCAACAGUGCGAGACUCUGUCUCAAAAAAAAAAAAAAUACAAAAAUUAGCUGGGCAUAGUGGCGCAAGCCUGUAGUCCCAGCUACUGGGGAGGCAGAGGUGAGAGAAUCGCUUGAACUUGGGAGGCAGAUGUUGCAGUGAGCUGAGAUCGUGCCAUUGCAACAUAGGGAGGCCCCAUCUCAAAAAAAAAAAAAAAAAAAGAACCACAGAUGUAGCCAGGCACAGGGGCUGAUGCGUGUAAUCCCAGCUACUCAGGAGGCUGUGGUGAGAGAAUCAUUUGAGCCUGGAACUUUAAGACCAGCCUAAGCAACGUAGUGAGACCCUGUCUCUAAAAAAAAAAAUUUUAGGCCAGGUGCGGUGGCUCACGCCUGUAAUCCCAGCACUUUGGGAGGCUGAGGCAGGUGGAUCAUGAGGUCAGGAGUUCAAGACCAGCCUGGCCAAGAUGGUGAAACCCUGUCUCUAUAAAAAAUACAAAAAUUUUCCUGGUGUGGUGGCGGGCACCUGUAAUCCCAGCUAAUCGAGAAGCUGAGGCAGAGAAUUGCUGAGAUCACGCCACUGCACUCCAGCCUGGGCAACAAGAGCAAAACUCCGUCUCAAAAAAAAAAAAUUUUUUUUAAUAAGCUAAAACAGGCUGGGAACAUGGCUAAAACCCGUCUCUACAGAAAACAUACAAAAAAAUUAGCUAGGUGUGGUAGCAAGUGCUGGUGGUCCCAGCUACUCAGGAGGCUGAGGUGGAAAGAUCACCUGAGCCCAGGACGUUGAGGCUACAGUGAGCCAUGAUCAUGCCACUGCACUACAGCCUGGGCAACAGAGUAAGACUCUAUCUCAAAAUAAUUAAUUAAAAUAAAUAUAAAAUUAAAUUUAAAACCCCAAAUGUGGCUGAGUGUGGUGGCUUACACCUAUAAUCCUAGCACUUUGGGAGGCUGAGGCAGGAGGAUCAAUUAAGCCCAGGAGUUUGAGACCAGCCUGGGCAACACAGUGGGACCCUGUCUCUAUAAAAAAUAAAACCCACAAAUCUGCAGGAGGAACAGGAAAAGUUUUGGUAAGGCGGCAUUGUCAAAUCAAAAGAGAAGGAAGGAAGGUAUCUCUUUAGACUCUGCAAACACAUUGACACAUCUCCUGAGCUUUUCUUGGUGUUGUCAGCAUCACCCAGCCCCAUCCCCUACUCCUAGACUUCCCCAGACACAGAAAUUAAUCAACACUGUACAGGACAACCAACAAAACAGAAAAUAGGGUACUCAAGCCUGGACACCAGACAGUCACCAUGGGACAGCCCAGCCUUCUGCAGUAAUAGUGGACAGAUGUUUCCAUUCAGGGAAUCCAAUAAUAAAAGGAAAAUAAAUGUGCAUGUUAAGGGCAGAAAAGAGGGAGAAGAGGGAUUACUUGACUUACAGCAAUUGCAGCUUGGAGUCUGUCUUCCAGAAUCUGAUGGCUUUCAUAAUUAUGUGGUAUGAGUGGAGGCUACCUCUGUAGCAGUGCUGUAGAAUAGAAUAUAGAAAUACAUAAGCCAGCCAGGCACAGUGGUUCACGCCUGUAAUCCCAGCACUGUAGGAGGCAGAGGUGGGUGGAUCCUCUGAGGUCAGGAGUUCAAGACUAGCCUGACUGACAUGGAGAAACCCUGUCUCUACUAAAAAUAUAAAAUUAGCCAGGCAUGGUGGCGCAUGCCUGUAAUCCCAGCUACUCCGUAGGCUGGGGCAGGAGAAUUGCUUGAACCCAGGAGGCGGAGGUUGUGGUGAGCCGAGACCGCGCCACUGCACUCUAGCCUGGGCGACAGAGCAGGACUCUGUCUCAAAAAAAAAAAAAAAUUGCUACUAGCUGCAUUUAUAAAAGUAAAAAGAAACGGGUGAAAUUAAUGUUAAUAUUUUAUUUGAUUCAAUAUAUCCAAACUAUUAUAUUUCACAUGUGAUUAAUAAAGUUAUCCAUGAGACAUUUGACAUUCUUUUUUUCUGUAUUGUCUUUGAAACCUGGUAUUACAGCACAUCUCAAUGCAUAUGCUAUAUCUUCCUGGGUAUACUUAAUUUUUAUUUAGAAUCCAUAAAAAUAAUAGUUGACGCUGGGUGCAGUGGCUCAAGCCUGUAAUCCCAGCACUUUGGGAGGCCGAAGCGGGCAGAUCACGAGGUCAAGAGAUCGAGACCUUCCUGGCCAAUAUGGUGAAACCCCGUCUCUACUAAAAAUACAAAAAUUAGCUGGACAUGGUGGUGGGUGCCUGCAGUCCCAGCUACUCAGGAAGGUGAGGCAGGAUAAUCGCUUGAACCUUGGAGGUGGAGAUUGCAGUGAGCCGAGAUCAGGCCACUGCACUCCAGCCUGGCGACAAAGCAACACUCUGUCUCAAAAAUAAAAUAAAAUAAUAGUUGAAAAAGUAGAUUCACAUACCCAAGUUGUUCUAAACAUACUUAAAAGUCUUCUAGGCCGGGCGCAGUGGCUCAUGCCUGUAAUCCCAGCACUUUGGGAGGCCGAGGCGGGUGGAUUGCCUGAGAUCAGGAGUUCGAGACCAGCCUGGCCAACAUAGUGAAACCCUGUCUCUAUUAAAAAUACAAAAAAAUUAGCUGGGCGUGGUGGUGGGCACCUGUAAUCCCAGCUACUAAGGAAGCUGAGGCAGGAGAAUCACUUGAACCCAUGAGGCAGAGGUUGCAGUGAGCCGAGAUCAUGCCAUUGCACUCCAGCCUGGGCAACAAGAGCAAAACUCUUGUCUCAAAAGGAAAAAAAAAAGUCUUCUAAUAACUGAAUGAGUAUUUGUUUUUAAAUUUAAGGCAAGGACAUGAAGAAAUG